GGGCGGUUAGCUCAGGGGCAGAGCGCCUGCCUUACAAGCAGGAGGUCGGAGGUUCAAUUCCUCCACCGCCCACCA
This 75-nucleotide transfer RNA is filed under the name Candidatus Fervidibacter japonicus. RNAcentral describes it as "bacterium HR17 tRNA-Val". It matches the Rfam family "tRNA". Rfam says of the family: Transfer RNA (tRNA) molecules are approximately 80 nucleotides in length. Lineage: Bacteria; Candidatus Fervidibacterota; Fervidibacteria; Fervidibacterales; Fervidibacteraceae. The record is from RNAcentral.